This 409-nucleotide ribosomal RNA is filed under the name uncultured Burkholderiales bacterium. Its description in RNAcentral is "bacterial SSU rRNA". It matches the Rfam family "Bacterial small subunit ribosomal RNA", at positions 355 to 755 of the family's 1533-position model. Lineage: Bacteria; Pseudomonadati; Pseudomonadota; Betaproteobacteria; Burkholderiales. The record is from RNAcentral.
UGGGGAAUUUUGGACAAUGGGGGCAACCCUGAUCCAGCAAUGCCGCGUGUGUGAAGAAGGCCUUCGGGUUGUAAAGCACUUUUGUUCGGGAAGAAAACGUGUGGACGAAUAGUUUGCAUGGAUGACGGUACCGGAAGAAUAAGCACCGGCUAACUACGUGCCAGCAGCCGCGGUAAUACGUAGGGUGCGAGCGUUAAUCGGAAUGACUGGGCGUAAAGCGUGCGCAGGCGGUUUUGUAAGCCAGAUGUGAAAUCCCCGGGCUUAACCUGGGAAUGGCAUUUGGGACUGCAAGGCUCGAGUGCGGCAGAGGAGACUGGAAUUCCUGGUGUAGCAGUGAAAUGCGUAGAUAUCAGGAGGAACACCGAUUGGCGAAGGCAGGUCUCUGGGCUGACACUGACGCUCAUGCACG